This 68-nucleotide transfer RNA is filed under the name Napialus hunanensis. RNAcentral's name for it is "tRNA-Leu". The record is from RNAcentral. Lineage: Eukaryota; Metazoa; Arthropoda; Insecta; Lepidoptera; Hepialidae.
UCUAAUAUGGCAGAAAUUUAUGCAAUGGAUUUAAACCCCAUUUAUAAAGAAUAAUUCUUUUUUUAGAA